Molecule: unclassified non-coding RNA, 200 nt
Filed under: soil metagenome
Description: partial contains internal transcribed spacer 2 and large subunit ribosomal RNA
Source: RNAcentral
UUAUUGAGCCGGCUCAGCUGAAAUAUACGAGCGACCCAAUGUUUCUAUUAUACAUAUGAUAACGGCUUGACUCGGCGUAAUAAUACUUUUCGCUGAGGACGUUUCAUUAUAAAUGAUUUAUUGACGCUACCAAUGCGACUUUAAUUAGUCAAUUCAUAACUCUAGACCUCAAAUCAGAUAGGACUACCCGCUGAACUUAA